UAAUUUGAGAGUUUGAUCCUGGCUCAGGACGAACGCUGGCGGCGUGCCUAAUACAUGCAAGUCGAACGAACUCUGGUAUUGAUUGGUGCUUGCAUCAUGAUUUACAUUUGAGUGAGUGGCGAACUGGUGAGUAACACGUGGGAAACCUGCCCAGAAGCGGGGGAUAACACCUGGAAACAGAUGCUAAUACCGCAUAACAACUUGGACCGCAUGGUCCGAGUUUGAAAGAUGGCUUCGGCUAUCACUUUUGGAUGGUCCCGCGGCGUAUUAGCUAGAUGGUGAGGUAACGGCUCACCAUGGCAAUGAUACGUAGCCGACCUGAGAGGGUAAUCGGCCACAUUGGGACUGAGACACGGCCCAAACUCCUACGGGAGGCAGCAGUAGGGAAUCUUCCACAAUGGACGAAAGUCUGAUGGAGCAACGCCGCGUGAGUGAAGAAGGGUUUCGGCUCGUAAAACUCUGUUGUUAAAGAAGAACAUAUCUGAGAGUAACUGUUCAGGUAUUGACGGUAUUUAACCAGAAAGCCACGGCUAACUACGUGCCAGCAGCCGCGGUAAUACGUAGGUGGCAAGCGUUGUCCGGAUUUAUUGGGCGUAAAGCGAGCGCAGGCGGUUUUUUAAGUCUGAUGUGAAAGCCUUCGGCUCAACCGAAGAAGUGCAUCGGAAACUGGGAAACUUGAGUGCAGAAGAGGACAGUGGAACUCCAUGUGUAGCGGUGAAAUGCGUAGAUAUAUGGAAGAACACCAGUGGCGAAGGCGGCUGUCUGGUCUGUAACUGACGCUGAGGCUCGAAAGUAUGGGUAGCAAACAGGAUUAGAUACCCUGGUAGUCCAUACCGUAAACGAUGAAUGCUAAGUGUUGGAGGGUUUCCGCCCUUCAGUGCUGCAGCUAACGCAUUAAGCAUUCCGCCUGGGGAGUACGGCCGCAAGGCUGAAACUCAAAGGAAUUGACGGGGGCCCGCACAAGCGGUGGAGCAUGUGGUUUAAUUCGAAGCUACGCGAAGAACCUUACCAGGUCUUGACAUACUAUGCAAAUCUAAGAGAUUAGACGUUCCCUUCGGGGACAUGGAUACAGGUGGUGCAUGGUUGUCGUCAGCUCGUGUCGUGAGAUGUUGGGUUAAGUCCCACAACGAGCGCAACCCUUAUUAUCAGUUGCCAGCAUUAAGUUGGGCACUCUGGUGAGACUGCCGGUGACAAACCGGAGGAAGGUGGGGAUGACGUCAAAUCAUCAUGCCCCUUAUGACCUGGGCUACACACGUGCUACAAUGGAUGGUACAACGAGUUGCGAACUCGCGAGAGUAAGCUAAUCUCUUAAAGCCAUUCUCAGUUCGGAUUGUAGGCUGCAACUCGCCUACAUGAAGUCGGAAUCGCUAGUAAUCGCGGAUCAGCAUGCCGCGGUGAAUACGUUCCCGGGCCUUGUACACACCGCCCGUCACACCAUGAGAGUUUGUAACACCCAAAGUCGGUGGGGUAACCUUUUAGGAACCAGCCGCCUAAGGUGGGACAGAUGAUUAGGGUGAAGUCGUAACAAGGUAGCCGUAGGAGAACCUGCGGCUGGAUCACCUCCUUU
Molecule: ribosomal RNA, 1567 nt
Filed under: Lactiplantibacillus plantarum
Lineage: Bacteria; Bacillati; Bacillota; Bacilli; Lactobacillales; Lactobacillaceae
Description: 16S ribosomal RNA
Rfam family: Bacterial small subunit ribosomal RNA
Source: RNAcentral